Molecule: ribosomal RNA, 253 nt
Filed under: uncultured bacterium
Lineage: Bacteria
Description: partial 16S ribosomal RNA
Rfam family: Bacterial small subunit ribosomal RNA
Source: RNAcentral
UACGUAGGGUGCAAGCGUUGUCCGGAAUUAUUGGGCGUAAAGAGCUCGUAGGCGGUCUGUCGCGUCGGCUGUGAAAACCCGGGGCUCAACCCCGGGCCUGCAGUCGAUACGGGCAGACUGGAGGUAUGCAGGGGAGAACGGAAUUCCUGGUGUAGCGGUGAAAUGCGCAGAUAUCAGGAGGAACACCGGUGGCGAAGGCGGUUCUCUGGGCAUGUCCUGACGCUGAGGAGCGAAAGUGUGGGGAGCGAACAGG